GCUGCGGUAGCUCAAUGGUGGAGCAGCGGUUUCGUAAACCGCAGGUUGCCGGUUCAAGUCCGGCCCGCAGCUC
This 73-nucleotide transfer RNA is filed under the name Bacteroidia bacterium. Its description in RNAcentral is "tRNA-Thr". It matches the Rfam family "tRNA". Rfam says of the family: Transfer RNA (tRNA) molecules are approximately 80 nucleotides in length. Their secondary structure includes four short double-helical elements and three loops (D, anti-codon, and T loops). Lineage: Bacteria; Pseudomonadati; Bacteroidota; Bacteroidia. The record is from RNAcentral.